This 207-nucleotide ribosomal RNA is filed under the name uncultured bacterium. Its description in RNAcentral is "partial 16S ribosomal RNA". It matches the Rfam family "Bacterial small subunit ribosomal RNA", at positions 568 to 774 of the family's 1533-position model. The record is from RNAcentral.
UCUGUAGGUGGCUUUCUUAAGUCUGCCGUCAAAUCCCAGGGCUUAACCCUGGCCAGGCGGUGGAGACUACUAAGCUGGAGUACGGUAGGGGCAGAGGGAUUUCCGGUGGAGCGGUGAAAUGCGUAGAUAUCGGAAAGAACACCAACGGCGAAGGCACUCUGCUGGGCCGAAACUGACACUGAGAGACGAGAGCUAGGGGAGCAAAUG